AUUGAACGCUGGCGGCAGGCCUAACACAUGCAAGUCGAGCGGACGAAGGGAGCUCUCUCCUGGAUUAAGCGGCGGACGGGUGAGUAAUGCCUAGGAAUCUGCCUGGCAGUGGGGGAUAACGUCAGGAAAGGGGCGCUAAUACCGUAUACGUCCUGAGGGAGAAAGUGGGGGAUCUUCGGACCUCACGCGAUCAGAUGAGCCUAGGUCGGAGUAGCUAGUUGGUGGGGUAAAGGCCUACCAAGGCGACGAUCCGUAACUGGUCUGAGAGGAUGAUCAGUCACACUGGAACUGAGACCCGGUCCAGACUCCUACGGGAGGCAGCAGUGGGGAAUAUUGGACAAUGGGCGAAAGCCUGAUCCAGCCAUGCCGCGUGUGUGAAGAAGGUCUUCGGAUUGUAAAGCACUUUAAGUUGGGAGGAAGGGCAGUAAGUUAAUACCUUGCUGUUUUGACGUUACCAACAGAAUAAGCACCGGCUAACUUCGUG
RNAcentral lists this ribosomal RNA (484 nucleotides) under uncultured bacterium. RNAcentral describes it as "partial 16S ribosomal RNA". It matches the Rfam family "Bacterial small subunit ribosomal RNA", at positions 30 to 507 of the family's 1533-position model. The record is from RNAcentral.